AGGCUCAGGCGACGAUCAGUAGCCGACCUGAGAGGGUGAUCGGCCACACUGGAACUGAGACACGGUCCAGACUCCUACGGGAGGCAGCAGUGGGGAAUAUUGCACAAUGGGCGCAAGCCUGAUGCAGCAACGCCGCGUGAGCGAUGAAGGCCUUCGGGUCGUAAAGCUCUGUCCUUGGGGAAGAAUAAAAUGACGGUACCCAAGGAGGAAGCCCCGGCUAACUACGUGCCAGCAGCCGCGGUAAUACGUAGGGGGCGAGCGUUAUCCGGAAUCAUUGGGCGUAGAGGGUGUGUAGGCGGUUAGAUAAGCGAGAGGUUAAAGGCUAUGGCUCAACCAUAGUAAGCCUUUCGAACUGUUUAACUUGAGUACAGGAGAGGAGAGCGGAAUUCCUAGUGUAGCGGUGAAAUGCGUAGAUAUUAGGAGGAACACCAGUGGCGAAGGCGGCUCUCUGGACUGUAACUGACGCUGAGGCACGAAAGCGUGGGGAGCAAACAGGAUUAGAUACCCUGGUAGUCCACGCCGUAAACAAUGAAUGCUAGUUGGUCGGGA
This 549-nucleotide ribosomal RNA is filed under the name uncultured low G+C Gram-positive bacterium. RNAcentral's name for it is "bacterial SSU rRNA". It matches the Rfam family "Bacterial small subunit ribosomal RNA", at positions 265 to 829 of the family's 1533-position model. Lineage: Bacteria; Bacillati; Bacillota. The record is from RNAcentral.